Molecule: ribosomal RNA, 600 nt
Filed under: Triticum aestivum (bread wheat)
Lineage: Eukaryota; Viridiplantae; Streptophyta; Magnoliopsida; Poales; Poaceae
Description: partial small subunit ribosomal RNA
Source: RNAcentral
AUGGUGGUAGCCUCAAGAAUACAUGCUUGCAUUUUGAUGGUUGUUGCAUUCACGGAGUAUGCAUUUCAACCUGUGAUGUGGCAUUCCAUAUUGCCGAUGCUCAUAUGUGGGGAUUUAGGGAUGCAUGUGUGGAGCAUCACGUACAGAAGGGACAGGCAUUUCUCUCAAACAUGCUCUGCUUCUCGAAAGAUCUCAGUCGGUUUGAAGGCAUCUUCUCAUGGAGACUUUAGUUCUCCUCAGUUCAGUCACAUUCCGAAUGGGGGGCUGAAGGAAACAGAUGCCCAGAAUCCAGAAAGUAGGCAAUGUGAAUCACCUUUGGUGCUUGACAGAAGCAAAAGGAUGCGAGGGAACACUGAAAAUGCUUCAGCAGGCAACAGCGUUGUCCAACAUCAUCCUUCUACAAAUGCGCCGAGAUCAAAAUCAAGAUCAAUAGCAUGGAAUCACUUCAAGAGGGAGGAUGGAGCGUGGGCGAUUUGCAAGUACUGCAAAAAGGAGUACGCAGCUGACCCAAAACAACAUGGGACUUCUCGUCUGUUGAGGCAUCUUAAAAAUGACCAUGGAAUUGACCCCAAAGCCUCAUCUUCAGCAAGUGGGAAGUGA